RNAcentral lists this ribosomal RNA (490 nucleotides) under uncultured bacterium. RNAcentral's name for it is "partial 16S ribosomal RNA". It matches the Rfam family "Bacterial small subunit ribosomal RNA", at positions 28 to 507 of the family's 1533-position model. The record is from RNAcentral.
GAUGAACGCUAGCGGCAGGCCUAAUACAUGCGAGUCGAACGGGAUCCAGAUCAAAGCUUGCUUUGGUCUGGUGAGAGUGGCGCACGGGUGCGUAACGCGUGAGCAACCUACCCUUGUCAGGGGGAUAGCCCGGCGAAAGUCGGAUUAAUACCGCAUGACAUCAUUGAGAGGCAUCUUUCGAUGAUCAAAGAUUUAUCGGACAAGGAUGGGCUCGCGUGACAUUAGCUAGUUGGUAAGGUAACGGCUUACCAAGGCUGCGAUGUCUAGGGGCUCUGAGAGGGGAAUCCCCCAACCUGGUACUGAGCCACGGACCAGACUCCUACGGGAGGCAGCAGUAAGGAAUAUUGGGCAAUGGACGGAAGUCUGAACCAGCCAUGCCGCGUGCAGGAAGACGGCCCUAUGGGUUGUAAACUGCUUUUAUACGGGAACAAACGUCGGUACGUGUACCGGUCUGAGUGUACCGUAAGAAUAAGGAUCGGCUAACUCCGUG